GAUGAACGCUGGCGGCGUGCCUAAUACAUGCAAGUCGAGCGAACAGACGAGGCUCUUGCUCCUCUGACGUUAGCGGCGGGCGUGUGAAUCACACGUGUAUACCCUCCCUAUCAUACUGAUAUCACUACGGGAAUGCGGAUCUAACACCAGAUAAUCUAUUGCACCUCGUGGUUCAUUGGUGGACUCCGGUUUUUCUGGCACUACUCGCUGUUUCUCCGCUGGAUUGUCUAGUUGGUAAGGAAAUGGCUUACCACGGAUACGAGGCGUAGCCGACCUGAGAGAGUGAUCGGCCACAUUGGAACUGAGACAAGGUCAAGACGCCUAAGGGAGGCAGCAGUAGGGAAUCGUAGGCAAUGGGCGAAAGCAUGACGGAGCAACGCCGAGUGAGUGAUGAAGGUCUUCGGAGCGUAAAGAUCGGUUAGUAGGGAAGAACAAAUGUGUAAGGAAAUAUGCACGGAUUGACGGUAACUAAUCAGAAAGCAACGGCUAACUACGUG
RNAcentral lists this ribosomal RNA (497 nucleotides) under uncultured bacterium. Its description in RNAcentral is "partial 16S ribosomal RNA". It matches the Rfam family "Bacterial small subunit ribosomal RNA", at positions 28 to 507 of the family's 1533-position model. The record is from RNAcentral.